Aplysia californica (California sea hare) is the source of this 277-nucleotide long non-coding RNA. RefSeq lists it as uncharacterized. The transcript has 2 exons. NCBI's taxonomy places the organism in Eukaryota, Metazoa, Mollusca, Gastropoda, Aplysiida, Aplysiidae. The record is from RefSeq and is a predicted model, not a curated record.
UCUAUUAUUGUGUGUGUCUGUGAGGGAGUUGGUUCUAGUUGUGGGGGGGGGGAGUGUUUAUAUUACAGUUUACAGACCUUUUCCAGAAUUGUUUUGUUUCUGUAGGUAGCGGUACCGUGUGAUAAAAUCUGUGUUGUAGUAGGGAAGAGUUGUUGGGCUUUGUGGGUGGGGGGUAGUCGGGUCGUGUGUCCAGAUUGACGGUUGUAGGUCUCGCCUGCUGACAACGAGGUUGCAGGUCUGUGAUUCUCUUUGACACAAUAAACUUUGUACAUACACA